AGUGAACGCUGGCGGUAGGCCUAACACAUGCAAGUCGAACGGCAGCACAGUAAGAGCUUGCUCUUACGGGUGGCGAGUGGCGGACGGGUGAGGAAUACAUCGGAAUCUACUUUUUCGUGGGGGAUAACGUAGGGAAACUUACGCUAAUACCGCAUACGACCUACGGGUGAAAGCAGGGGAGCUUCGGACCUUGCGCGAUUCAAUGAGCCGAUGUCGGAUUAGCUAGUUGGCGGGGUAAAGGCCCACCAAGGCGACGAUCCGUAGCUGGUCUGAGAGGAUGAUCAGCCACACUGGAACUGAGACACGGUCCAGACUCCUACGGGAGGCAGCAGUGGGGAAUAUUGGACAAUGGGCGCAAGCCUGAUCCAGCCAUACCGCGUGGGUGAAGAAGGCCUUCGGGUUGUAAAGCCCUUUUGUUGGGAAAGAAAAGCAGCAGGUUAAUACCCCGCUGUUCUGACGGUACCCAAAGAAUAAGCACCGGCUAACUUCGUG
RNAcentral lists this ribosomal RNA (492 nucleotides) under uncultured bacterium. RNAcentral's name for it is "partial 16S ribosomal RNA". It matches the Rfam family "Bacterial small subunit ribosomal RNA", at positions 29 to 507 of the family's 1533-position model. The record is from RNAcentral.